AAGGGGGGGGGGGGAAUUCCCAUGGGUUAGCGGUGAAAAUGGCGUAGAUAUUUGGAGGGAACCCCCAGGGGGGAAGGCGGGCUCUUCUGGUUCUGAAACUGACGCUGAGGCUCGAAAGCGUGGGGAGCAAACAGGAUUAGAUACCCCUGGUAGUCCACGCCGUAAACGAUGAGUGCUAAGUGUUGGAGGGUUUCCGCCCUUCAGUGCUGCAGCUAACGCAUUAAGCACUCCGCCUGGGGAGUACGACCGCAAGGUUGAAACUCAAAGGAAUUGACGGGGGCCCGCACAAGCGGUGGAGCAUGUGGUUUAAUUCGAAGCAACGCGAAGACCCUUCCCAGGUCUUGACAUCCUUUGACCACUCUAGAGAUAGAGCUUCCCCUUCGGGGGCAAAGUGACAGGUGGUGCAUGGUUGUCGUCAGCUCGUGUCGUGAGAUGUUGGGUUAAGUCCCGCAACGAGCGCAACCCUUAUUGUUAGUUGCCAUCAUUCAGUUGGGCACUCUAGCAAGACUGCCGGUGACAAACCGGAGGAAGGUGGGGAUGACGUCAAAUCAUCAUGCCCCUUAUGACCUGGGCUACACACGUGCUACAAUGGGAAGUACAACGAGUUGCGAAGUCGCGAGGCUAAGCUAAUCUCUUAAAGCUUCUCUCAGUUCGGAUUGCAGGCUGCAACUCGCCUGCAUGAAGCCGGAAUCGCUAGUAAUCGCGGAUCAGCACGCCGCGGUGAAUACGUUCCCGGGCCUUGUACACACCGCCCGUCACACCACGAGAGUUUGUAACACCCGAAGUCGGUGAGGUAACCUUUUGGAGCCAGCCGCCUAAGGUGGGAUAGAUGACGAGUUCACAAGGCCCC
Molecule: ribosomal RNA, 850 nt
Filed under: Enterococcus faecium
Lineage: Bacteria; Bacillati; Bacillota; Bacilli; Lactobacillales; Enterococcaceae
Description: bacterial SSU rRNA
Rfam family: Bacterial small subunit ribosomal RNA
Source: RNAcentral